AGGACGAACGCUGGCGGCGUGCCUAAUGCAUGCAAGUCGCACGCAGGGUGCUUGCACUCUGAGUGGGCGCGACGGACGUGAGGAUCGACGUGGGAACAUGCCUCCUUGUGGGGGACAACAGCGCGAAAGCGGUGCUAAUCCCGCAUACGCUCGGCAACGAGGAAAGCGGCAACGCGCAGGGAGAGUGGCCCGCGGCCCAUCAGGUCGUUGGUGGGGUAAUGGCCUACCAAGCCGGUGACGGGUAGCUGGUCUGUGAGGACAACCAGCCAGACUGGGACUGAGACACGGCCCAGACUCCUACGGGAGGCAGCAGCAAGGAAUUUUCGCAAUGGGCGCAAGCCUGAACGAGCAACGCCGCGUGGAGGAUGACGGCCUUCGGGUUGUAAACUCCGUUUUGGGGGGACGAUGAUGACGGUACCCUUGAAUAAGGCUCGGCUAACUCUGUGCCAGCAGCCGC
This 457-nucleotide ribosomal RNA is filed under the name uncultured bacterium. RNAcentral describes it as "SSU rRNA". It matches the Rfam family "Bacterial small subunit ribosomal RNA", at positions 26 to 518 of the family's 1533-position model. The record is from RNAcentral.